This is a long non-coding RNA of Solenopsis invicta (red fire ant), 1471 nucleotides long. RefSeq lists it as uncharacterized. The record is from RefSeq and is a predicted model, not a curated record. NCBI's taxonomy places the organism in Eukaryota, Metazoa, Arthropoda, Insecta, Hymenoptera, Formicidae. The transcript has 4 exons.
GUAACAAAGCAUGCAUUGCGUCGCUUCUCCGGAAAGUGUGCCGGGAAUGCCGUGCCGGGAAUGUCGCACGUCGCAGUGAUUAGCGUACGCGAGUUUAUCGUGCUGCAUCGCAAUCGUAGGUUCGCCAGUGAGUCAGUAAACGGGUGUGUGAUUCAAUUUAGUUCAGUGAUUAGUGGUUCCGGUCCCCUUGUGGGUAUGUGGUGUGUUCAGUGGAGGAACAGUCGCCCGCGUUGACGAUGGAGAGGCCUAGGAGGCAACGGGCAACAGUGGUGCAAUCGUAAGAUUAAAUAUGCGAUUCCGCUGCUGCGCACUGAUAUUCUUCGAGGUGAAAAACGACGAGAAGAGAACACCACCCAUCGUCGGCGACUUAGACUUAAAAUAAACGAACCGCAGCCGGUUUGUCGCGUCGCGCGUUAGUUUCGGGAGUGCCGUAUAAAUACUGGACUACAUUAUAUAAACUUUUUUCUUAAUUCCCAUUUGAUAGACUCCUAGUUCGAGGGCCGGGAAUCGCACCUCUGCUGCUUGGCAGUGAAUAUUCUUACUGGGGCGUUGCGUAUGGUGGGCGUGCGCGCCGCACCGCGACGUUUCAUGCCGAGUGCCCGUGCACGAGGUAAUGCCGGGCCGCAUGUACGACAUGUUUCGUCCGUAUGCAUGUUGCGCGGCUGUCUGGUUGUGUGAGGUUACACGCUCUGUCUCUGGCAAUCGGUUCGGUCCUAAGCGGUAAGAGUUCGGAUCGGUUGUCUUGGAUUCGCACGUUUCUCUUGCUCUCGUCCACCUAAGGCUUUCUUAGACCCUUGAUACCCUUUUUGGAUUCUUUGGAUCUGGGGUUCGAGCCAGUGAAUCACGUUUAAUCUGACUUGGUCAGAACUUGGCCUUGUAGGUUAAGCUUGUGACGAGAGGCUGGCUCUCAUUUCCUGAUUCGUCUAAAAUGCUAGACGUCGGCAAUGAGUACCUUCUUCUCUCGUCCUGCCGGAGUGUCUUGUCGACGCCGCUUGGAUAUAAGAUCCAGUGGGACUGAUCUCGAUGAUCCGUUGGCUGGGCGUAUGAACGAGUCAAUUUUAGACGUGACUUUUGUGAGACAAGAGACGUAGGAAUUCAAUAUCAUUGAUUUCGUUUUCUUCCGCAUGGGGCUUACCCUUGUUCGGAGGCGGGUACGCGUGCGUUCUACUCGUCGACUCGGGGUGUUGAAUCCACGGGAAUCCCUCUGAAUGGGAACUCAUGUCAUGGGUCUUAUAAACCCGAAAUGCCGCAGUAUCGCGCGAAAAACUUUAUAAAUAAUUAGUCCACGCGCGCAAAUUUAGUAUAUUAUUCGCGAGUGUUUCGCGCGUGCAAUGAGAAGAAGAGGACAACCUUAAGGACACUGAGAGGAGGAGGAGGAGGCCUGGGAGAGGCAUCGGGCCCCAGCGGAGCAACCUUGGGUAAUCACCGUAGCUUCGUAGCUGAAUAACUCCGCUCGUUGCGCAUCGGGUCG